Molecule: ribosomal RNA, 897 nt
Filed under: uncultured archaeon
Lineage: Archaea
Description: bacterial SSU rRNA
Rfam family: Archaeal small subunit ribosomal RNA
Source: RNAcentral
GGAGGCUACCGCUAUUGGAGUUCGAUUAAGCCAUGCGAGUCGCGAGUCUUAGGGACUCGGCGUACCGCUCAGUAACACGUGGGUAACCUGCCCUAUGCUGGGGGAUAACCUCGGGAAACUGAGAAUAAUACCCCAUAGUUCACCACGCCUGGAACGGUGGGUGGACCAAAGCUCCGGCGGCAUAGGAUGGGCCUGCGGCGUAUCAGGUUGUAGGGGGUGUAAUGUACCCUCUAGCCCUCUACGCGUACGGGUGUUGAGAGACAUCGCCCGGAGAUGGAUUCUGAGACACGAAUCCAGACCCUACGGGGUGCAGCAGGCGCGAAAACUUGGCAAUGCGAGAAAUCGUGACCAGGGAACUCCAAGUGCAUCGGGUAAGACCGAUGCUUUUCUUGACUCUUCAAAGGUCUUGGAAUAAGGGGUGGGUAAGGACGGUGCCAGCCGCCGCGGUAAUACCGGCGCCCCAAGUGGUAGUCGCUUUUAUUGGGCCUAAAACGUCCGCAGCCGGUCUGGUACAUUCGUGGGUAAAUCAACCAGCUCAACUGGUUGAAUUCUGCGAGCACGGCCAGACUUGGGACCGGGAGAGGUGUGGGGUACUCUCAGGGUAGGGGUAAAAUCCUGUCAUCCUGAGAGGACCACCUGUUGCGAAGGCGCCACACUAGAACGGAUCCGACGGUCAGGGACGAAGCCUAGGGGCACGAACCGGAUUAGAUACCCGGGUAGUCCUAGGUGUAAACGCUGUGGACUUGAUGUUGGGGGCGCUCCGAGCGCACUCAGUGUCGAAGCGAAGGUGAUAAGUCCACUGCCUGGGGAGUACGGUCGCAAGGCUGAAACUUAAAGGAAUUGGCGGGGGAGCACCGCAACCUGAGGAUUGUGCGGUUUAAUUGGAUCAACGCCGGG